This 148-nucleotide signal recognition particle RNA is filed under the name Gorilla gorilla gorilla (western lowland gorilla). RNAcentral's name for it is "Metazoan signal recognition particle RNA". It matches the Rfam family "Metazoan signal recognition particle RNA". Rfam says of the family: The signal recognition particle (SRP) is a universally conserved ribonucleoprotein. It is involved in the co-translational targeting of proteins to membranes. The record is from Rfam by way of RNAcentral. Lineage: Eukaryota; Metazoa; Chordata; Mammalia; Primates; Hominidae.
GCUGGGCGUGGUGGCGUGUGCCUGUAGUCCCAGCUACUCGGGAGGCUGAGGCAGGAGAAUUGCUUGAACCCAGGAGUCGGAGGUUGCAGUGAGCUGAGAUUGCACCACUGCACUCCAGCCUGGGUGACAGAGCAAGAAUCUGUCUCAA